Molecule: long non-coding RNA, 844 nt
Organism: Capra hircus (goat)
Lineage: Eukaryota; Metazoa; Chordata; Mammalia; Artiodactyla; Bovidae
Exons: 3
Source: RefSeq, a predicted model, not a curated record
GACAUCACUGACUUUAACCAUCUCUAGGGCCAGAUAUUCCUGGGUGAAAAAGAGGGGCUUCUUGAGAGGAAAUGAAAGAAGACAGAGAUGUGGUUUUGCCUUAAAGUUUUCUGAUGUGAACAGCUGGAUUUUUUGAAAUUGAAAAAUGGGCCUUUCAUUUUGAAAUAGAAAGAUAGGACUGAAAGUGUGAUGUAAGUGCAGGCGUUUGGAGUCCCUCCUGGAGAACACAGAGAGCAAGUUUGGCUUUUGAGGAAAAAGGAGGAAGCCCAAUUCCACCCAGCACCCACUUCCCAUUUUACUUAAGGUCCAUGGGGUUACCCAGAAUGCCUCACCCCCUGCUUUGUCCAUAGAGAUGCCAGCCUGUGGUUAUUGGAACCCGGUCUGCCAGACCAAAGGGAGGAAGUCUGCCAGGCAGAUGUGGAGCCCAAAAGAGGAACUUCACCAACUGCUGUGGACAGCUCUAGUCCUUUAUGUCCCCGUGGACUUUUGGGGAAGUAUUUUUGUGGCUCAUCAGUCUCUUGUUAGGCAAGGGCCACUUGUCCUGGGUUGUCCUUUUCUACUAGUGGAAAGUACAGCUCGGAGAUUUGGAAUAGUUGCUGUUUGACUUUUAUUCUUAGCACAACUGUCACUAUGAGCCUUUUUGGUAAGAUCUCAAGCUGAAGUUUGUUGCUGAAGAUUGCAGAAUUCCUUCUAAACUUUGGAACCGUUUUGAAUCAUAAUUGGCAGUGGCUUUCUGAUGGCAUCUUGAGCAAACUCAGAGGAGAAGUCAUUACUUUGUCUCACAUGAAUACAACACUGGGUAAAUUACCUUGAACCUCUACCCAGGGGUGUGAUCUACAUUAUU